RNAcentral lists this ribosomal RNA (1476 nucleotides) under uncultured bacterium. RNAcentral's name for it is "partial 16S ribosomal RNA". It matches the Rfam family "Bacterial small subunit ribosomal RNA". The record is from RNAcentral.
CACGGAUCCAGAGUUUGAUUCUGGCUCAGGAUGAACGCUGGCGGCGUGCCUAACACAUGCAAGUCGAGCGAGAAAUUAAUUAAGGAAUCUUCGGAAGAAUUAAUUAAUGGAAAGCGGCGGACGGGUGAGUAACGCGUGGGCAACCUGCCUUUCACAGAGGGAUAGCCAAAGGAAACUUUGAUUAAAACCUCAUAAUGCUAAUUUACUGCAUAAUAGAUUAGCCAAAGAUUUAUCGGUGAAAGAUGGGCCCGCGUCUGAUUAGCUAGUUGGUGAGGUAACGGCUCACCAAGGCAACGAUCAGUAGCCGACCUGAGAGGGUGAUCGGCCACAUUGGAACUGAGACACGGUCCAAACUCCUACGGGAGGCAGCAGUGGGGAAUAUUGCACAAUGGGCGAAAGCCUGAUGCAGCAACGCCGCGUGAACGAAGAAGGCCUUCGGGUCGUAAAGUUCUGUCCAUAGGGAAGAAGCAAAUGACGGUACCUUUGGAGGAAGCCCCGGCUAAAUACGUGCCAGCAGCCGCGGUAAUACGUAUGGGGCAAGCGUUAUCCGGAAUUAUUGGGCGUAAAGAGUGCGUAGGUGGUGGCUUAAGCGCAGGGUUUAAGGCAAUAGCUCAACUAUUGUUCGCCUUGCGAACUGGGUCACUUGAGUACAGGAGAGGAAAGCGGAAUUCCUAGUGUAGCGGUGAAAUGCAUAGAUAUUAGGAGGAACACCAGUGGCGAAGGCGGCUUUCUGGACUGAAACUGACACUGAGGCACGAAAGCGUGGGUAGCAAACAGGAUUAGAUACCCUGGUAGUCCGCACAGUAAACGAUGAAUACUCGCUGUUUGCGAUACACAGUAAGCGGCCAAGCGAAAGCGUUAAGUAUUCCACCUGGGGAGUACGCCGGCAACGGUGAAACUCAAAGGAAUUGACGGGGGCCCGCACAAGCGGAGGAACAUGUGGUUUAAUUCGAUGAUACGCGAGGAACCUUACCCGGGCUUAAAUUGCGCUGGCUUUUACCGGAAACGGUAUUUUCUUCGGACCAGCGUGAAGGUGCUGCAUGGUUGUCGUCAGCUCGUGCCGUGAGGUGUCGGCUUAAGUGCCAUAACGAGCGCAACCCUUAUCUUUAGUUACUAACAGUUUUGCUGAGGACUCUAAAGAGACUGCCGUCGUAAGAUGCGAGGAAGGUGGGGAUGACGUCAAAUCAGCACGGCCUUACGUCCGGGGCUACACACGUGUUACAAUGGGGAGCACAGCAGGUUGCUACACGGCGACGUGAUGCCAAUCCGUAAAACUCCUCUCAGUUCGGAUCGAAGUCUGCAACCCGACUUCGUGAAGCUGGAUUCGCUAGUAAUCGCGCAUCAGCCACGGCGCGGUGAAUACGUUCCCGGGCCUUGUACACACCGCCCGUCAAGCCAUGAAAGCCGGGGGUACCUGAAGUACGUAACCGCGAGGAUCGUCCUAGGGUAAACCUGGUGAUUGGGGCUAAGUCGUAA